UACGGAGGGGGCUAGCGUUGUUCGGAAUUACUGGGCGUAAAGCGCGCGUAGGCGGACCUGCAAGUCGGGGGUGAAAGCCCGAGGCUCAACCUCGGAACUGCCUUCGAUACUGCGGGUCUCGAGUCCGGGAGAGGUGGAGUGGAAUUCCUAGUGUAGAGGUGAAAUUCGUAGAUAUUAGGAAGAACACCAGUGGCGAAGGCGGCUCACUGGCCCGGUACUGACGCUGAGGCGCGAAAGCGUGGGGAGCAAACAGG
RNAcentral lists this ribosomal RNA (254 nucleotides) under uncultured bacterium. RNAcentral's name for it is "partial 16S ribosomal RNA". It matches the Rfam family "Bacterial small subunit ribosomal RNA", at positions 524 to 776 of the family's 1533-position model. The record is from RNAcentral.